AACGAACGCUGGCGGCAGGCUUAACACAUGCAAGUCGAACGCCCCGCAAGGGGAGUGGCAGACGGGUGAGUAACACGUGGGAACGUACCCUUCGGUUCGGAAUAACACAGAGAAAUUUGUGCUAAUACCGGAUACGUCCGAGAGGAGAAAGAUUUAUCGCCGAAGGAUCGGCCCGCGCCUGAUUAGCUAGUUGGUGAGGUAAUGGCUCACCAAGGCGACGAUCAGUAGCUGGUCUGAGAGGAUGAUCAGCCACACUGGGACUGAGACACGGCCCAGACUCCUACGGGAGGCAGCAGUGGGGAAUAUUGGACAAUGGGCGAAAGCCUGAUCCAGCCAUGCCGCGUGAGUGAUGAAGGCCCUAGGGUUGUAAAGCUCCUUUACCUGGGAAGAUAAUGACUGUACCAGGAGAAUAAGCCCCGGCUAACUUCGUG
Molecule: ribosomal RNA, 431 nt
Filed under: uncultured bacterium
Lineage: Bacteria
Description: bacterial SSU rRNA
Rfam family: Bacterial small subunit ribosomal RNA
Source: RNAcentral